AUUUGUACCUGUGCAUGAUAUAUUUUGGUCCCUCUAGUUCUGUGAGGAAGAAGGGGAGAAAUAUUUGACUUCAUCCUCCAGUACAGCAAAGAAAGAAGAUAAGCAAAACCAUCAAAUGUACAUAUUAAAAUAAUCUGAACAUUCAUUUCUUAUUACAAAAAUGAAAUGGUUAAUGUAAUUUUGAAAUAUAAACCUCAUACCAAGAAUUUCUUUCAUGAUGGUCUGUGAGAAGUGCUAAUUAAUACUAAUUUUUAAGAUCAUUACAACUAUUA
This 272-nucleotide long non-coding RNA is filed under the name Chinchilla lanigera (long-tailed chinchilla). RNAcentral describes it as "lncRNA (ENSCLAG00000024251.1)". The record is from RNAcentral. Lineage: Eukaryota; Metazoa; Chordata; Mammalia; Rodentia; Chinchillidae.